CGGCGGGCUAUCAGGUGAGAGCUGGCGAGGGCGCUGACUGCUUCUGUGUCCGCGUACACCGGGCGCCUGUCCCGCUCCUUCCCGCAUUUCAGCCGGUUAGCUGUGCUUCGUCUCGCAGGCGGGCGUGUUCGCCGGGCGGGGCCGGUUCCGUGGGGUUCGUUGUCAGAGGCGUGCGGGUUGUUUUAGAAACAGGACGAGGGAUCCCGUCUGCCGCUGUCAGACAGUGAAGAGGGCUUCGCUUUCAAAGACCCUUCAGACUCUGAUUAAGGCAGGUGUGCAGGGUCUCAGGUGUGCUGUGAACACCGGUGCUCAGGUGUGCUGGUGCUGAGGUGUACUGUGAAUUCAGGUGUGCUGUGAAUGCAGGCACUCAGGUGUGCUGGUGCUCAGCUCUGCUCUGAAUGCAGGUGUACUCUGAAUGCCGGUGCCCAGGUGUGCUGUGAGUACAGGGUCUCAGGGGUGCCAGUGCUCAGGUGUGCUGUGAACGGCGGUGCUCAGGUGUGCGCGUUGGCCCGGGGUGACAGACAGAAGGAGAUCGAGGUGUACAGUCUGUCAGUGUGCUGUCCAGGGACGGACCAGCCCAGCUCCCCUGCAGCUUUCCCAUCAUUUCCAGUCUGUUGAGCUUUCCUGGACUGUACCACCUCUCCCAUCCUGACGGGGGGAGUCAGGGCGCUGUCGCGCACACACACACACUGAGCCACGGUGGGCGGGGGUCUUGUCCAGUGUCCAGUGUCCAGCGUGUCUGCUCUGUGUGCUCCAGCAUGCUCCAGUCCCGGGCCCGGCGCGGCUCCCUGGCCUCGAGCGACGGAUGUGUGGGCAGCGAGGACGACGCCGACGAGGGCCGGACGGAGGGCGACCUGCUCUUCGCUCAGAAGUGUGCGGAGCUGCAGGGGUUUGUCAGACCCCUCCUGGAGCUGUUGAAUGGGCUGAAGAGAGGACGCUAUGACCGAGGUACACUUCCCCCACACCCCCAGCUGUGGGGUAGGGUGGGGUGGGGCUGUGGUCUCUUGAGGGGCUGUGGGCUCCCGUGGGGCUGUGGAGUGGGGUUGUGGGCUCCCGUGGGGCUGUGGAGUGGGGCUGUGGGCUCCCGUGGGGCUGUGUAGAGGGGCUGUGGGCUGUGGAGUGGGG
RNAcentral lists this long non-coding RNA (1125 nucleotides) under Lepisosteus oculatus (spotted gar). RNAcentral's name for it is "lncRNA (ENSLOCG00000022666.1)". The record is from RNAcentral. Lineage: Eukaryota; Metazoa; Chordata; Actinopteri; Semionotiformes; Lepisosteidae.